AUGAGGACAAAUUAAAGAGAAAUAAGAUGCCUGGAAAGCAGUCAGAUGCGUCUUCCAGUGAACAUGGGUCACCAGAAAAAGAUCUUAAUUCAUCAAAAGAGGACAUAAGUAUCUCUGAGGCCACUGCCAAUGAACAAACUGCACCUACAAAUGAAGUUCCUGUCAAAGGAAAAAGAGGCAGAAAAAGAAAGGU
This is a long non-coding RNA of Bombina bombina (fire-bellied toad), 193 nucleotides long. RefSeq lists it as uncharacterized. The transcript is spliced from 3 exons. The record is from RefSeq and is a predicted model, not a curated record. NCBI's taxonomy places the organism in Eukaryota, Metazoa, Chordata, Amphibia, Anura, Bombinatoridae.